AUAGUGACCCAGCUGAGCCUCAUCAACGAGGUCUCAUAAGGGAAGAAGAGGAUAGUCUUGUGUCAUUGUUUCUGUUGAGCUCACUGCUGUGGGAAAUGCAAGUUUGAGAGUAACCAACUUCCCCACAAUCUUUUAAGAAGAGAAUUCAGAGGAAACCAGAUUUUAGACAACAAAGGUUGCAGGUGCCACAAUUGCUAAAGGAAUAAACGCCCAGAAAUUCAAGAUUGGAUGUAAACAAUGUCCAAACUCCAGAGAGUGAUGGGAGCAGUGUUGGAAACAUCAGAGCCAGGAACAGCAUCCCAGAAGGUCUCAUUAUACCUGCCAGACAGCCCAGAGAGAAGAGGGGAGUGCUGUGGUUGAGUCACACAUUGAGCUGUGGUCAAUCCACACUUCCAGAUCGCAGCAGCACAAACAUCUGAGCAGAGACAAAUUCCCAUCCAGAUGUCUCCUGCACCUGGGACACAAAGGAGCUCUCUCUUCCCCCGACCCUGCCCCAAAG
Zonotrichia albicollis (white-throated sparrow) is the source of this 499-nucleotide non-coding RNA. The record is from RefSeq and is a predicted model, not a curated record. NCBI's taxonomy places the organism in Eukaryota, Metazoa, Chordata, Aves, Passeriformes, Passerellidae.